Molecule: ribosomal RNA, 252 nt
Filed under: uncultured bacterium
Lineage: Bacteria
Description: partial 16S ribosomal RNA
Rfam family: Bacterial small subunit ribosomal RNA
Source: RNAcentral
UACGGAGGAUGCGAGCGUUAUCCGGAUUUAUUGGGUUUAAAGGGUGCGUAGGCGGGCUUUUAAGUCAGCGGUAAAAAUUCGGGGCUCAACCCCGUCCGGCCGUUGAAACUGGGGGCCUUGAGUGGGCGAGAAGAAGGCGGAAUGCGUGGUGUAGCGGUGAAAUGCAUAGAUACCACGCAGAACCCCGAUUGCGAAGGCAGCCUUCCGGCGCCCUACUGACGCUGAGGCACGAAAGUGCGGGGAUCGAACAGG